GUUUUGAUUCAGGGUCAGAACGAACGCUGGCGGCAUGCCUAACACAUGCAAGCUCGAACGAGACCUUCGGGUCUAGUGGCGCACGGGUGCGUAACGCGUGGGAAUCUGCCCUUGGGUUCGGAAUAACACUUGGAAAUGAGAGCUAAUACCGGAUGAUGACGAAAGUCCAAAGAUUUAUCGCCCAGGGAUGAGCCCGCGUAGGAUUAGCUAGUUGGUGAGGUAAAGGCUCACCAAGGCGACGAUCCUUAGCUGGUCUGAGAGGAUGAUCAGCCACACUGGGACUGAGACACGGCCCAGACUCCUACGGGAGGCAGCAGUGGGGAAUAUUGGACAAUGGGCGAAAGCCUGAUCCAGCAAUGCCGCGUGAGUGAUGAAGGCCUUAGGGUUGUAAAGCUCUUUUACCCGGGAUGAUAAUGACUGUACCGGGAGAAUAAGCCCCGGCUAACUCCGUGCCAGCAGCCGCGGUAAU
This 469-nucleotide ribosomal RNA is filed under the name uncultured Sphingomonas sp. RNAcentral describes it as "bacterial SSU rRNA". It matches the Rfam family "Bacterial small subunit ribosomal RNA", at positions 10 to 524 of the family's 1533-position model. Lineage: Bacteria; Pseudomonadati; Pseudomonadota; Alphaproteobacteria; Sphingomonadales; Sphingomonadaceae. The record is from RNAcentral.